This is a long non-coding RNA of Hyla sarda, 364 nucleotides long. RefSeq lists it as uncharacterized. Lineage: Eukaryota; Metazoa; Chordata; Amphibia; Anura; Hylidae. The record is from RefSeq and is a predicted model, not a curated record. The transcript has 4 exons.
AAGAAAACCAGGGCCAGUGGACGGGAGAACAAUUCCAGCAGGACCAGGGGAGCCGCGGAAGGUUCUUGCAUUUCACUGUGCAUGGAAGUGAACAUACAGAGUAAACUGACCUAUAUUGGUUAAUUUCUACUGCAAAAUGAUCGGUGGGAGCACAGAAAUUGGUGGACAACAGCGAUUUACAUAGUAUGGGAACCCUAGUGGAAAGAACCUUAUGGAUGAUUUAACCCAUAAAAAAGGUAAUUAGACUAUCGCUUCCUGAUCUGCACAGCAAGGUAUUUGCCUCUUUUUUUUUAUUUGGCCUAUAUGUACUCACGCUGCAUCCUGAGAUGGAAAAUGUGAUGGAAUUUCUGCAAGCUACAGACAG